This 433-nucleotide ribosomal RNA is filed under the name uncultured bacterium. RNAcentral describes it as "partial 16S ribosomal RNA". It matches the Rfam family "Bacterial small subunit ribosomal RNA", at positions 29 to 507 of the family's 1533-position model. The record is from RNAcentral.
AACGAACGCUGGCGGCAUGCCUAACACAUGCAAGUCGAACGAUGCCUCCGGGCAUAGUGGCGCACGGGUGCGUAACGCGUGGGAAUCUGCCCUUGGGUUCGGAAUAACUCGCCGAAAGGCGAGCUAAUACCGGAUGAUGACGUAAGUCCAAAGAUUUAUCGCCCAAGGAUGAGCCCGCGUAGGAUUAGCUAGUUGGUGGGGUAAAGGCCCACCAAGGCGACGAUCCUUAGCUGGUCUGAGAGGAUGAUCAGCCACACUGGGACUGAGACACGGCCCAGACUCCUACGGGAGGCAGCAGUGGGGAAUAUUGGACAAUGGGCGAAAGCCUGAUCCAGCAAUGCCGCGUGAGUGAUGAAGGCCUUAGGGUUGUAAAGCUCUUCUACCCGGGAUGAUAAUGACAGUACCGGGAGAAUAAGCUCCGGCUAACUCCGUG